Molecule: non-coding RNA, 115 nt
Filed under: Peptostreptococcus anaerobius
Lineage: Bacteria; Bacillati; Bacillota; Clostridia; Peptostreptococcales; Peptostreptococcaceae
Source: RNAcentral
UUUGUAUACUGGGCAAAGCAUCCAGGAUCUUUGGCACCUAUUACUUUUAGAACAUCACAUCUUGCAAAUUCACCCUUCUUGCAUGACUCACACUCUCCACAGUAUAGUGUAGGAC